RNAcentral lists this long non-coding RNA (1063 nucleotides) under Homo sapiens (human). RNAcentral's name for it is "HSALNT0391645". The record is from RNAcentral. Lineage: Eukaryota; Metazoa; Chordata; Mammalia; Primates; Hominidae.
GACGAGAGCAAGGGACUGAGAGGGGCCAGGUGGCCCAGUAACACUCAGCCAGACCUCUGGGGAAAGAAAAGAAGUUGACAUUUCCGUGGACAGCCAAGGGUCAGUGGCCCGAUCUUUGUAUGGAAAGACUGUGGAAAGGCUGUAUCGAGUGUUUGCAAAACCAGGCUCCUGCUGUCACAUCAUGCUAAAGGGUUGGAGGUGGAGGAGUAGAAAGGUGCUAAAUAAAGCCAAAUUCUCAUUGUCUGCGGUCUUCUGAUUACCAGGCACUUAGGCUGCAGUUACACAGUCAGUGGUGAUGAGCUGUAAUUGCAGGCGUUUUCCAUGGUUAUUUUUUCCCCUGGAAAGAUAAAGUGAUACCUGUAAUUUCCCAAAAGAUACGCUCCAGGCUCCCAUCCCCAAGCAGAGGCUGAGCGGCCUUCAUUACCCGAGAAACAGGAGCUUUCCUUGCACCUUCCUGCUGUGAUAUGAUGAGCAGCCCUAUGGAGAGGGUGUGUGGGAAGAACCUGAAGUCUCCAGCCAGCAGCCACAUGAAUACAUCAUCUUGGAAGCAGAUCCUCCAGCCCCAGUCCAGCCUUCAGAUGACUGCAGCCCUGGUCAACAUCUCAACUGCAGUCUCAUGAGAGACUCCAGACCAGAACCACCCUGCUGAGCCUCUUUUGGAUUCUUGACCCUCAGAAACCCUGUGAGAUCAUAAAUGCCAGUCGUUUUAAGCUGCUAAGUUUUGGGGUCAUUUGUUAGCCAGCAAGAUAACAAAUACAGAUCUGCAUGAAACAUACAAGCAGAAGGAAGUAGGCAGUCAGGUCUACAAGUCUGAAAUUCAGGGAAGCAGUUCAGGCUGAAAUAUAAAUUUGAGAGUUAUUAACAUAUAGGUGAUAUUAAAAGCCAUCAGGAGCAAAGGUUUCUCUUUUUAUGGAAGCUUUCUCCACUUCCCUACUCCCUCUUCUGCGCUCUGAUGUUGGCUUGCCUUUGCUGUGAGGUUGCACGGCGAUGGCUUUGCUGUGCGCCCAUCUGACCAUUAGGUUCAGACAUAACUGAGUCUUCUUUGGAUCUUCUUCUAAACUUG